Molecule: ribosomal RNA, 433 nt
Filed under: uncultured bacterium
Lineage: Bacteria
Description: partial 16S ribosomal RNA
Rfam family: Bacterial small subunit ribosomal RNA
Source: RNAcentral
AACGAACGCUGGCGGCAUGCCUAACACAUGCAAGUCGAACGAGACCUUCGGGUCUAGUGGCGCACGGGUGCGUAACGCGUGGGAACCUGCCCUUAGGUUCGGAAUAACUCCCCGAAAGGGGUGCUAAUACCGGAUAAUGUCUUCGGACCAAAGAUUUAUCGCCUUUGGAUGGGCCCGCGUUGGAUUAGCUAGUUGGUAGGGUAAAAGCCUACCAAGGCGACGAUCCAUAGCUGGUCUGAGAGGAUGAUCAGCCACACUGGGACUGAGACACAGCCCAGACUCCUACGGGGAGCAGCAGUGGGGAAUAUUGGACAAUGGGCGAAAGCCUGAUCCAGCAAUGCCGCGUGAGUGAUGAAGGCCUUAGGGUUGUAAAGCUCUUUUACCCGGGAUGAUAAUGACAGUACCGGGAGAAUAAGCUCCGGCUAACUCCGUG